Molecule: ribosomal RNA, 621 nt
Filed under: uncultured Glomeromycotina
Lineage: Eukaryota; Fungi; Glomeromycota
Description: SSU rRNA
Rfam family: Eukaryotic small subunit ribosomal RNA
Source: RNAcentral
GGGCACGACACCGGAGAGGGAGCCUGAGAAACGGCUACCACANCCAAGGAUGGCAGCAGGCGCGCAAAUUACCCAAUCCCGACACGGGGAGGUAGUGACAAUAAAUAACAAUACGGGGUUCUUUAGGAUCUCGUAAUUGGAAUGAGUACAAUUUAAAUCUCUUAACGAGGAACAAUUGGAGGGCAAGUCUGGUGCCAGCAGCCGCGGUAAUUCCAGCUCCAAUAGCGUAUAUUAAAGUUGUUGCAGUUAAAAAGCUCGUAGUUGAAUUUCGGGGUUAGUAGGUUGGUCAUGCCUCUGGUAUGUACUGGUCUCACUGAUUCCUCCUUCCUGAUGAACCGUAAUGCCAUUAAUUUGGUGUUGCGGGGAAUUUGGACUGUUACUUUGAAAAAAUUAGAGUGUUUAAAGCAAGCUAACGCUUGAAUACAUUAGCAUGGAAUAAUGAAAUAGGACGUUCGAUCCUAUUUUGUUGGUUUCUAGGAUUGACGUAAUGAUUAAUAGGGAUAGUUGGGGGCAUUAGUAUUCAAUUGUCAGAGGUGAAAUUCUUGGAUUUAUUGAAGACUAACUACUGCGAAAGCAUUUGCCAAGGAUGUUUUCAUUAAUCAAGAACGAAAGUUAGGGGAU